UGAAUUUCGGGSUUAUGGGUUUGGUCAUGCCUCAGGUAUGUACUGGUCACCGCGCUUGACACUUCUUGAAGAACUGUAAUGUCAUUAAUUUGGUGUUGCAGGGAAACAGGACUGUUACUUUGAAAAAAUUAGAGUGUUUAAAGCAGGCUAACGCUUGAAUACAUUAGCAUGGAAUAAUGAAAUAGGACGUUUGACCCUAUUUUGUUGGUUUCUAGGAUCGACGUAAUGAUUAAUAGGGAUAGUUGGGGGCAUUAGUAUUCAAUUGUCAGAGGUGAAAUUCUUGGAUUUAUUGAAGACUGACUACUGCGAAAGCAUUUGCCAAGGAUGUUUUCAUUAAUCAAGAACGAAAGUUAGGGGAUCGAAGACGAUCAGAUACC
This 377-nucleotide ribosomal RNA is filed under the name uncultured Glomus. RNAcentral's name for it is "bacterial SSU rRNA". It matches the Rfam family "Eukaryotic small subunit ribosomal RNA", at positions 637 to 1027 of the family's 1831-position model. Lineage: Eukaryota; Fungi; Glomeromycota; Glomeromycetes; Glomerales; Glomeraceae. The record is from RNAcentral.